GAUCAUGGAAAAUGCUGAAAUAAAUAAUAUUAUUAAAAUAGUUGGUCUGCAAUAUAAGAAAAGUUACGAUGAUGCAGAAUCUCUGAAAACCUUACGCUAUGGAAAGAUUAUGAUUAUGACCGAUCAGGAUCAAGAUGGUUCUCACAUAAAAGGCCUGCUUAUUAAUUUCAUCCAUCACAAUUGGCCAUCACUUUUGAAGCAUGGUUUUCUCGAAGAGUUCAUUACUCCUAUUGUAAAGGCAAGCAAAAAUAAGCAGGAACUUUCCUUCUACAGUAUUCCUGAAUUUGAUGAAUGGAAAAAACAUAUAGAAAACCAGAAAGCCUGGAAAAUAAAGUACUAUAAAGGAUUGGGUACUAGUACAGCUAAAGAGGCAAAGGAAUAUUUUGCUGAUAUGGAAAGGCAUCGCAUCUUGUUUAGAUAUGCUGGUCCUGAAGAUGAUGCUGCCAUUACCUUGGUAAUUAAGUUAAUUUUUUAAAAGCUUUUGUUAGCCAUCCCCCUACCUUCUUUUCCUUUCCUCCCAGUCCUGGUUCCCUAUGAUAAGUCUCUUUUGAAUGCUCAAGCUAGUUAAUUUUAAUUUUUCCCCC
This 584-nucleotide small RNA is filed under the name Pongo abelii (Sumatran orangutan). RNAcentral's name for it is "retained intron". The record is from RNAcentral. Lineage: Eukaryota; Metazoa; Chordata; Mammalia; Primates; Hominidae.